AUGAGCAGUCAGCAGAGACUGAAAAGUGAGAACCCAUCAAGGAAGAAAGCAGAUGAUGGAAGCUCUGAAAGGGCUGCAAACAGUAAGAGCCGGGGGAGAAGAAAAAGAACUUAAAGAUCCAAAGUUGCUUAUUACAAAUGUGCUUCUGCUUGUCAAACUCCAAUCUAUCUUCAGCAGUGCUAAAUAUCUGGUCAUGAAGCAAUAUGCUCUUCAUAAGGAGCAUACUUCUUUACCUACAAGGAUUGCCACAGAUUUCCUAAGGAUGAAAGCUAUUGCUGCAACACUGAAAAUGCUAGCUAGGAAGGAGAGGGAAAAAGGAUAUUCACAAGAUCCUCACAUCCCCUGAAAACAUCACGCAUCUACAGACUAUGAUCUCUACUUCCAAUCAGUAAUCACAUUCCAUCUGCCUUCAUUGUGUUCCUUACAAGGUAAAUGGACAACAUAUAUAUGAUAAUUACCUCAUUCUCACAGAAGGAGCACCGAAGAAUAACCAGGAUUCAAUGACAAGAAUCAGAAAGAAAAGUGACAUCAAGAUUCUUGAACAGAAGAAAAUCUCAUUAUUUCCUGAAACUUUUAACUGUUUUAAGUCCUUUUUCUGUUCUUGAGUUCCACACAAGGAGCCUAGAUUUCCUCCAGGUCAUUUCUGUGGUUAAUAUUUGGUGUGUAUAUUGUCUUCAGUAUAUUAAAAUUUCAAUAUCAAAAUUUUUAUUCUAACUACCUCAAAAUGACCAGUAAAUUGUAAGAUGUAAGUCACAUGACUUUGGUUCUAAUUUGGUGGACAACUCUCAGAAGUUUCACUGAAAAUAUUUUGUUAUGGCUAGAGUUAAUAGCACUAAAAUACAUAUUUAUAAAAUAAAAAAAUUACCCUUCAGUAAUACUCUUACA
Molecule: long non-coding RNA, 885 nt
Filed under: Struthio camelus australis
Lineage: Eukaryota; Metazoa; Chordata; Aves; Struthioniformes; Struthionidae
Description: lncRNA (ENSSCUG00000005094.1)
Source: RNAcentral